RNAcentral lists this ribosomal RNA (534 nucleotides) under uncultured bacterium. RNAcentral's name for it is "bacterial SSU rRNA". It matches the Rfam family "Bacterial small subunit ribosomal RNA", at positions 83 to 633 of the family's 1533-position model. The record is from RNAcentral.
GGUCGCAAGACACUGGCGCACGGGUGAGUAACACGUAGGUUAUCNGCCCCCAUCACAGACAUAACCCCGGGAAACCGGGACUAAUAUCUGAUGAGGCCGAGAGGUCAAAGCUUUAUGCGGAUGGGGAUGAGCCUGCGGCUGAUUAGCUAGUUGGUGAGGUAAUGGCUCACCAAGGCGACGAUCAGUAGCUGGUCUGAGAGGACGAACAGCCACACUGGAACUGAGACACGGUCCAGACUCCUACGGGAGGCAGCAGUGAGGAAUAUUGGUCAAUGGGCGAGAGCCUGAACCAGCAAUGCCGCGUGUGGGAUGACAGGGCUUCGCCUUGUAAACCACUGUCGGAUGGGACGAAAAGAGGCAACAGCCUCUGGGACGGUACCAUCAAAGGAAGGGUCGGCUAACUACGUGCCAGCAGCCGCGGUAAUACGUAGGACCCGAGCGUUGUCCGGAUUUACUGGGUAUAAAGGGUGCGUAGGCGGUCUUGUGCGUCAGAGGUGAAAUCUCCGGGCUUAACCCGGAGGGUGCCUUUGAAAC